GGCAGCACGGGUGCUUGCACCUGGUGGCGAGUGGCGAACGGGUGAGUAAUACAUCGGAACGUACCUUAUCGUGGGGGAUAACGCAGCGAAAGCUGUGCUAAUACCGCAUACGCCCUGAGGGGGAAAGCGGGGGAUCGAAAGACCUCGCGCGAUUAGAGCGGCCGAUGCCUGAUUAGCUUGUUGGUGGGGUAAAAGCCCACCAAGGCGACGAUCAGUAGCUGGUCUGAGAGGACGAUCAGCCACACUGGGACUGAGACACGGCCCAGACUCCUACGGGAGGCAGCAGUGGGGAAUUUUGGACAAUGGGGGCAACCCUGAUCCAGCAAUGCCGCGUGAGUGAAGAAGGCCUUCGGGUUGUAAAGCUCUUUUGUCAGGGAAGAAACACCGGCUCUAACACAGUCCGGGAAUGACGGUACCUGAAGAAUAAGCACCGGCUAACUACGUGCCAGCAGCCGCGGUAAUACGUAGGGUGCGAGCGUUAAUCGGAAUUACUGGGCGUA
Molecule: ribosomal RNA, 500 nt
Filed under: uncultured beta proteobacterium
Lineage: Bacteria; Pseudomonadati; Pseudomonadota; Betaproteobacteria
Description: bacterial SSU rRNA
Rfam family: Bacterial small subunit ribosomal RNA
Source: RNAcentral